CACCGGGACCGGGGGCGGCUCCGGGAACGCUCUCGGGGGGCCGGAGCGGAACCGGGGCGGGACCGGGGCGGGACCGGGGCGGCUCCGGGAGCCUCCGGUAAGCACCGGGAAGGCGCCGGAGGAGCCGCCCGCCAUGGAGCCCAACAGCCCCCGCAAGAUCCAGUUCACGGUGCCGCUCCUGGAGCCGCACCUCGACCCCGAGGCGGCGGAGCAGAUCCGCAGGCGCCGACCGACGCCGGCCAACCUGGUGCUGAGCAG
This is a long non-coding RNA of Cygnus olor (mute swan), 258 nucleotides long. RefSeq lists it as uncharacterized. The record is from RefSeq and is a predicted model, not a curated record. The transcript has 2 exons. NCBI's taxonomy places the organism in Eukaryota, Metazoa, Chordata, Aves, Anseriformes, Anatidae.